Molecule: transfer RNA, 85 nt
Filed under: Felis catus (domestic cat)
Lineage: Eukaryota; Metazoa; Chordata; Mammalia; Carnivora; Felidae
Rfam family: tRNA
About the family: Transfer RNA (tRNA) molecules are approximately 80 nucleotides in length. Their secondary structure includes four short double-helical elements and three loops (D, anti-codon, and T loops).
Source: Rfam by way of RNAcentral
ACCUGGGUGGCUCAGUUGGUUGAGCAUGCGACUUUGGCUCAGGUCAUGAUCUCGCAGUUCGUGGGUUCGAGCCCCGCGUCGGGCU